CUUAGCUCAGUUGGUAGAGCACCUGACUGUUAAUCAGGGUGUCGCUGGUUCGAGUCCAGCC
RNAcentral lists this transfer RNA (61 nucleotides) under bovine gut metagenome. It matches the Rfam family "tRNA", at positions 8 to 63 of the family's 71-position model. From Rfam's summary of the family: Transfer RNA (tRNA) molecules are approximately 80 nucleotides in length. Their secondary structure includes four short double-helical elements and three loops (D, anti-codon, and T loops). Further hydrogen bonds mediate the characteristic L-shaped molecular structure. tRNAs have two regions of fundamental functional importance: the anti-codon, which is responsible for specific mRNA codon recognition, and the 3' end, to which the tRNAs corresponding amino acid is attached (by aminoacyl-tRNA synthetases). tRNAs cope with the degeneracy of the genetic code in two manners: having more than one tRNA (with a specific anti-codon) for a particular amino acid; and 'wobble' base-pairing, i.e. permitting non-standard base-pairing at the 3rd anti-codon position. The record is from RNAcentral.